GCUGGGCAUGGUUGCUCAUGCCUGUGGUCCCAGCUUCUCAGGAGGCUGAGGCAGGAGGAUUGCUUGAGCUCAGGAGUUUGGGGCUGCAGUGAGCUAUGAUUGUGCCACUACACUCCAGCCUUUGCAAUAGACCAAGACCCUGUCUCAA
Molecule: unclassified non-coding RNA, 148 nt
Organism: Pongo abelii (Sumatran orangutan)
Lineage: Eukaryota; Metazoa; Chordata; Mammalia; Primates; Hominidae
Rfam family: Metazoan signal recognition particle RNA
About the family: The signal recognition particle (SRP) is a universally conserved ribonucleoprotein. It is involved in the co-translational targeting of proteins to membranes.
Source: Ensembl